AUUGAACGCUGGCGGCAGGCCUAACACAUGCAAGUCGGACGGUAGCACAGAGGAGCUUGCUCCUCGGGUGACGAGUGGCGGACGGGUGAGUAAUGUCUGGGGAUCUGCCCGAUAGAGGGGGAUAACCACUGGAAACGGUGGCUAAUACCGCAUAACGUCGCAAGACCAAAGAGGGGGACCUUCGGGCCUCUCACUAUCGGAUGAACCCAGAUGGGAUUAGCUAGUAGGCGGGGUAACGGCCCACCUAGGCGACGAUCCCUAGCUGGUCUGAGAGGAUGCCCAGCCACACUGGAACUGGGACACGGUCCAGACUCCUGCGGGAGGCAGCAGUGGGGAAUAUUGCACAAUGGGCGCAAGCCUGAUGCAGCCAUGCCGCGUGUAUGAAGAAGGCCUUCGGGUUGUAAAGUACUUUCAGCGGGGAGGAAGGCGGUGAGGUUAAUAACCUCGCCGAUUGACGUUACCCGCAGAAGAAGCACCGGCUAACUCCGUGCCAGCCGCCGCAGUAA
Molecule: ribosomal RNA, 506 nt
Filed under: uncultured bacterium
Lineage: Bacteria
Description: partial 16S ribosomal RNA
Rfam family: Bacterial small subunit ribosomal RNA
Source: RNAcentral